AUGCAAGGUACACACAAAGAGGGAGAAUUCCGGCAGGUGGAAAUAUGGACCUGGAAAAGCUACGUCAGGCUACCUAUUCUGCAUAACUCCAAACAAGCUAAAACUUUACGGAGAAUUUUUAUGGAAUAUAUGAGGAAUAUUGGAGCCAAUAAGUACCAGAGGGGCCCCACCUGGUGGGCACAACACACCUGGGCCCGCCAGGGAGCCCAGGCGCGCCCUGGUGGGUUGUGCUCACCCAGACCUAGAAAAAAUAAGGAGAGGACUUCCGGGACGGAGCGCCGCAGUCUCGAGGUGGAACUUGGGCAGGAGCACUUAUGCCCUCCGGUGGAGCGAUUUUGCCUGGGGAACUUCCCUCCUGGAGGGGGAAAUCAUCGUACUCAUCAUCACCAACAACUCUCCCAUCUUGGGGAGGGCAAUCUCCAUCAACAUCUUCAACAGCACCAUCUCAUCUCAAACCCUAGUUCAUCUCUUGUGUUCAAUCUUGUUACCGGAACUGUAGAUUGGUGCUUGUCGGUGACUAGUAGUGUUGAUUACAUCUUGUAG
This 543-nucleotide ribosomal RNA is filed under the name Triticum aestivum (bread wheat). RNAcentral describes it as "partial small subunit ribosomal RNA". The record is from RNAcentral. Lineage: Eukaryota; Viridiplantae; Streptophyta; Magnoliopsida; Poales; Poaceae.